GUGGAUUAGAUACCCUGGUAGUCCACGCCGUAAACGAUGAUUACUAGUUGUAUGCGAUAUGAUAGUAUGUGACUAAGCGAAAGCGAUAAGUAAUCCACCUGGGGAGUACGCCGGCAACGGUGAAACUCAAAGGAAUUGACGGGGGCCCGCACAAGCGGAGGAACAUGUGGUUUAAUUCGAUGAUACGCGAGGAACCUUACCCGGGCUUGAAAUGUACCUGACCGACUAUGAAAGUAGUCUUCUAGCAAUAGCAGGUAUGUAGGUGCUGCACGGUUGUCGCCAGCU
This 285-nucleotide ribosomal RNA is filed under the name uncultured bacterium. Its description in RNAcentral is "partial 16S ribosomal RNA". It matches the Rfam family "Bacterial small subunit ribosomal RNA", at positions 773 to 1060 of the family's 1533-position model. The record is from RNAcentral.